Molecule: ribosomal RNA, 424 nt
Filed under: uncultured bacterium
Lineage: Bacteria
Description: bacterial SSU rRNA
Rfam family: Bacterial small subunit ribosomal RNA
Source: RNAcentral
AAGACCUUGCGCUUUUGGAGCGGCCGAUGUCUGAUUAGCUUGUUGGUGAGGUAAAGGCUUACCAAGGCUUCGAUCAGUAGCUGGUCUGAGAGGACGGCCAGCCACACUGGGACUGAGACACGGCCCAGACUCCUACGGGAGGCAGCAGUGGGGAAUUUUGGACAAUGGGGGCAACCCUGAUCCAGCCAUGCCGCGUGAGUGAAGAAGGCCUUCGGGUUGUAAAGCUCUUUCAGCCGGAACGAAACGGUUACGGUUAAUACCCGUGACUACUGACGGUACCGGAAGAAGAAGCACCGGCUAACUACGUGCCAGCAGCCGCGGUAAUACGUAGGGUGCAAGCGUUAAUCGGAAUUACUGGGCGUAAAGCGUGCGCAGGUGGUUUUGUAAGUCAGAUGUGAAAUUCCCCGGGCUUAACCUGGGAACU